UACGAAGGGUGCAAGCGUUAAUCGGAAUUACUGGGCGUAAAGCGUGCGCAGGCGGUUUUGUAAGCCAGAUGUGAAAGCCCCGGGCUCAACCUGGGAAUGGCAUUUGGGACUGCAAGGCUUGAGUGCGGCAGAGGAGACUGGAAUUCCUGGUGUAGCAGUGAAAUUCGUAGAUAUCGGGAGGAACACCGGUGGCGAAGGCGGCGACCUGGGUAGAUACUGACGCUGAGGUGCGAAAGCGUGGGGAGCAAACAGG
Molecule: ribosomal RNA, 253 nt
Filed under: uncultured bacterium
Lineage: Bacteria
Description: partial 16S ribosomal RNA
Rfam family: Bacterial small subunit ribosomal RNA
Source: RNAcentral